UGGGUGGUGAGUGAUGACAUAAGCUGUUGC
RNAcentral lists this non-coding RNA (30 nucleotides) under Mus musculus (house mouse). Lineage: Eukaryota; Metazoa; Chordata; Mammalia; Rodentia; Muridae. The record is from RNAcentral.